GAUGAACGCUGGCGGCGUGCCUAAUACAUGCAAGUCGAGCGAACAGACGAGGAGCUUGCUCCUCUGACGUUAGCGGCGGACGGGUGAGUAACACGUGGAUAACCUACCUAUAAGACUGGGAUAACUUCGGGAAACCGGAGCUAAUACCGGAUAAUAUAUUGAACCGCAUGGUUCAAUAGUGAAAGACGGUUUUGCUGUCACUUAUAGAUGGAUCCGCGCCGCAUUAGCUAGUUGGUAAGGAAACGGCUUACCAAGGCGACGAUGCGUAGCCGACCUGAGAGGGUGAGCGGCCACACUGGAACUGAGACACGGUCCAGACUCCUACGGGAGGCAGCAGUAGGGAAUCUUCCGCAAUGGGCGAAAGCCUGACGGAGCAACGCCGCGUGAGUGAUGAAGGUCUUCGGAUCGUAAAACUCUGUUAUUAGGGAAGAACAAAUGUGUAAGUAACUAUGCACGUCUUGACGGUACCUAAUCAGAAAGCCACGGCUAACUACGUG
This 497-nucleotide ribosomal RNA is filed under the name uncultured bacterium. RNAcentral describes it as "partial 16S ribosomal RNA". It matches the Rfam family "Bacterial small subunit ribosomal RNA", at positions 28 to 507 of the family's 1533-position model. The record is from RNAcentral.